This is a non-coding RNA of Desarmillaria ectypa, 91 nucleotides long. The record is from the annotation of a GenBank genome assembly. NCBI's taxonomy places the organism in Eukaryota, Fungi, Basidiomycota, Agaricomycetes, Agaricales, Physalacriaceae.
GAUCCCUUAGCUCAGUGGUAGAGCGUGUGAUUCCAGUCUGUGUUCUCUUUGGGUAUCCACAAGGUCAAGCGUUCAACUCGCUUAGGGAUCA